Long non-coding RNA from Helianthus annuus (common sunflower), 1999 nucleotides. RefSeq lists it as uncharacterized. The record is from RefSeq and is a predicted model, not a curated record. Lineage: Eukaryota; Viridiplantae; Streptophyta; Magnoliopsida; Asterales; Asteraceae. The transcript has 5 exons.
UUUACACUUUUAUUCCACCCUUAUAGAAAGAACCAACGAUGAUUGAAUGGUUUGAGCGAAUUGGAGACGUCCCAUCGUUUCCACUCGCAUCCCCUCUUUACUCAGGCCAGGUCCAUACAAAUCCCCAUUACAACCUAGAACCCUAGCAAAGUUCAAUUCACGCUCUCUCCAAUCUCAUUUUUUCUCUCGAUCUGGAACCCUAGCCUCCUCUAUCCCUCUCCAAUGUAGAACACCGAUUUGAAGAAAACCUAACCGAUUUGUUGGUUUGUUCCUAUUCUUGUCCCUGAUCUUGUUUCAGUUCUUGUUGUUCAAAUAUUGUUAUAGAAUCUGUUAAUUUUUUGUAACAUGUGAAUCACACACACAAAUCGAGGAUGACCCUACCUGAUGAUGUGAACUUGGAAUAAGGAAGGCGUACCGAAAGGCCUCUAUAGGUGAAAACAAACGCCCCGGUUAGUUGAUCUCAUCUAAUUGUGGGGGCAGGCUGGUAUUAUUUGAAACAUAUACAAAGGAAGCUUUCAAGAGCCCAGAAUCAAGAGUAGUCUUCAAGGACCAUACAGAUUAAUGGGUUUUUAUUGUUCGGAGGGACAGAGACAGAGAUAGAGACAGAGACUGAAAACGAGACAGAGACGACCGUGUCCGUCCCCGGCACCGGCACCGCCACCUCGACCAUGAUCGUGACAGAGACCGUAAAGACAGGAAUAAAAGGUCACACACACCAGACCAUGUUUACUGACUUGAUUUUAUAUAAAAAUGAUAAAUAGUGUCACAGUUGAUACUACACCAGAUCACGAACCCGUUCCCCUGACCACCGCCGGUCACGCUCUCGCUCCACCGACAGACACCGUAGAAAAAGCCACCACCGUACCCCAUUUCCAGACCACUCACGUAAGCGUCGCAGGUACGACAACAACAACAACAAGCGUACUGCAGCUGUGGUUUCAGAUUUUGUGGAUGAGAUUGUGAAGGAGAAGCAGCAGAAGAGUAAGAAAGAUAAGGAGGUGGAAGUGAGUGAUAGUGGUGAGAUGGAUGCUGAUGAAAUUGACAUGAUGAAAAUGAGGGGGAUUCCGGUUGGGUUCGAUUUAACUAAAGGGAAGCAUGUUGAAGGGAAUGAUGUCAGUGGGAUUAGAGUGGUGACGAAACAACAGCCCAGACAAUAUAUGAAUCGUCGCGGUGGGUUUAAUCGCCCGUUGCUGGCUGAAGUGAAUCUUUUAUUGAGGUCAGGGUUUUGUUUUGUUGAAUUUAAUUUGGAAUUGUGUUUUGGUUUAGUUGGAUUUGUUGCUUUUUAUCUGCAUUGUGAAAAAGGAUAUGCGUAUGCAUUAUUUAAGUGAUUUACAUGAUGAGGGGGAUGGUUUGUUAUGAACACAAAUGUUAGAUAUGACUUGACUUGCAAAUUGUAAAAGCAUUGACUACUUAUUGAUAAGAGGCUCUGAAGGGUGGUUUAGGUUAUGAGGCAUAAGGCGGGAGCUUCACGUAUGUGUGCUAAGAGGAAACGAAUCGAAGGGUUGAAAAUCGCGUAUCUUUUAUAUGUAUUUUUGAAGUUACCCAAUCCAAUCCGCAAAUCCAAUCAUGGCAUAUGUAUAUGUGAGCUUUGUAUCUGGAACAUUAAUGGAUGGGAGAAGAGGAAAUCACGAAGCAUACAAUCGCCACCUGGCCAUCCAUCUUCACUAGUUUGGAGAAACUAAAGUUCAGUUCCAUAAUGAUCAACGGCAUCUCCUUGUUGUACAUGAAAGUCAAAUUGCCAUUUAUGACCACCAACUGGAAUGCUUGAAGUUGGUAAAUAGUUGGACUCACACCUCACUUUUAACUAUCCCAAUGAACCAUACAUCAUUUAACUAUCCCACGUAGCCGGUAAAACCUUGCAUUGCCAUGAAGUAUGGGGGUUUUUACACGCAUACACACCUUAUAUAGUUUUUUUUUUUUUUUUGUAAUCGUUUGAAGGCUUGAUUUAUUUUCCCAUCCCUUAUUGUCGACCCCGCCGCAACGCGCGGGUUUCCCACUA